CUGAUGGUUUAAUCCAACUGGAAGAGAAUCUUUGGCCUGUCAAUGACAAAAUGGUUUAUAAAGAAGAAAAAAUAAAUACCAUAUACAAGUUAUCAUUAUAUUUUUCAUCUUUGAUCUCCCGCUCUUCCUUCCGGAUCCUCACAGCAUGGUAUCGGGGAACGCUAUCAUCGUACCUAGAGCGUUUAAAGAAUCCGCACUGACGAAGGGGAAAGAGAAACAGAAACAAACUAAGUAUCUCAAGAAAAGCAAAUGCACAAAAUGGGAAUGUCUAAGCUUUCUGUUCAGCUACGCCUACCUUUGGAUGAAGGGGAAAAAAUAAACAUGGUUUAAGAAGGAACUAGUAGGUCCAAAAGACAUACCAGCAGUGGGGAUAAACAGAAGAGAAGACAGCUGUAACAUUGGAAGAAAAGUCCGUUUUUCCAUUGUGUCUCUACUAACAAACUUAAGAGUUAUGGAAAAAUGCUUCCAUUUUUUAUAAUCACAAUAUUAUAUGUUAAAGAUCUAAUUUUCAGGUUAAAAAGAUUGGUCUUUAAAAAUGAUAUUCUAAUAAAGGCCAUAAACCAAAGAUUAUUCAUACCCCUUUCCCACUAACAAAAUGGAAUCAGAUCACAAAUAUUUUACAAAUUACUACUUAAAUAUGCCAGUGUUCAAAUGGGCCAAUUUAAGAAUCUUCUCUCCUCCAAGGCUCAGCACAUAUCUCUCAUUAGCUACCAGGCAAUUUAUACUGCCUGGAUUUCCUGUUGUGCUUAUAAAUUAAGCUGUUUCAUUAAUAAAUCAUGUAGUAACUGUGUCCUGUAAUAAAAUCAAUUGUGUACCACAAAGAACUUGAGGACAGUAGCACUACAUUGAAUUUCUGAGCACCCCUGAUUUUUUUGGCAAAGGAAAUUUAACACUUAAAUUAUUAAUAUAUAUUUUAUUCAUUUUUUAAAAAAUAUUCAAUCUAAUCGAAAGUAGAUUUUUAUUGAGAACAUAUUAGGAAGUUUUUUACUCAAACUGAAUUUUUAAAAUGAAUAAAAUAUACGUUUAAUGAAACAGAUGUGUUUUCAAUUUAAAAAUGCAGAUAGAGGGAAGAUGAGGAAGACAGUUGGAAGGGUCAAUUUGUAUCACGUAACAGGAAUGGAACAUUUAGAUGUUAUAAAAGUGCCACAGGGGAAAGUAAAAUUAUAUCCAGGCAUCACUAAAUCAGUAGGAAAAACUGACCAAGACAUUUUGUUCUAAGGCCAUUUCUACAUUGGACUCCAUAAUUAUUCUGUGCAAAAAGCCAAAAUACCUAUCAGUUACAAAAUGUGGCUCUUCAUUUAGACAAAGGAGGAAAUCAAGGGUGGUAUGUAAAACUGAAAUGGAAAUGCUGGGGUUCAUCAUGACAAUGCCAUGGAAAGGGAUUAUGGAGUCUAUCCUCUCAUGCCCAGAGAAAUGGAAAAAGGAAUUAUCACCAAUUCCUGUUUCCAUGGAUCUACACACAAGAGAAGCAAAAUACAUGAACUUAAAAUCAAGAACCAAAGUUGAAUAAAAUCUCUAGGAACAUGAAACAAGAUCAAACUCCAUUACAACAACAUUGAAAUAGUAACUGUCCAGAGCAUUUUUAUAUUAGAAUUUUGCAUAAUGAAGGUCACUUUAGUAUAGAACCAUCUUCUGAAACUGGCCAUCAUGUCCACCAUGUCAACAACAGUCAUAGUUUGUUGUAAUGGUCUUUGACCUGUAGUAGAUAAGCAGGAAAAGGAAGUUGCAUGCUUAGCUAGCAUAAAACAAUUUC
Molecule: long non-coding RNA, 1753 nt
Organism: Lynx canadensis (Canada lynx)
Lineage: Eukaryota; Metazoa; Chordata; Mammalia; Carnivora; Felidae
Exons: 2
Source: RefSeq, a predicted model, not a curated record